Molecule: ribosomal RNA, 508 nt
Filed under: uncultured bacterium
Lineage: Bacteria
Description: bacterial SSU rRNA
Rfam family: Bacterial small subunit ribosomal RNA
Source: RNAcentral
CCUACGGGAGGCAGCAGUGGGGAAUUUUGGACAAUGGGCGCAAGCCUGAUCCAGCAAUGCCGCGUGCAGGAUGAAGGCCUUCGGGUUGUAAACUGCUUUUGUACGGAACGAAACGGCUCCUAUUAAUACUGGGGGCUAAUGACGGUACCGUAAGAAUAAGCACCGGCUAACUACGUGCCAGCAGCCGCGGUAAUACGUAGGGUGCGAGCGUUAAUCGGAAUUACUGGGCGUAAAGCGUGCGCAGGCGGUUAUAUAAGACAGAUGUGAAAUCCCCGGGCUCAACCUGGGACCUGCAUUUGUGACUGUAUAGCUAGAGUACGGUAGAGGGGGAUGGAAUUCCGCGUGUAGCAGUGAAAUGCGUAGAUAUGCGGAGGAACACCGAUGGCGAAGGCAAUCCCCUGGACCUGUACUGACGCUCAUGCACGAAAGCGUGGGGAGCAACAGAUAGUAUACCUACGUAGUCACGACCCUAACCGACUAGUACACUAGUUGUUGGGUUCGUUCUACU